This 1017-nucleotide ribosomal RNA is filed under the name uncultured organism. RNAcentral describes it as "bacterial SSU rRNA". It matches the Rfam family "Bacterial small subunit ribosomal RNA", at positions 356 to 1376 of the family's 1533-position model. The record is from RNAcentral.
GAGGAAUAUUGGUCAAUGGACGAGAGUCUGAACCAGCCAAGUAGCGUGAAGGAUGACUGCCCUAUGGGUUGUAAACUUCUUUUAUACGGGAAUAAAGUUAGCCACGUGUGGCUUUUUGUAUGUACCGUAUGAAUAAGGAUCGGCUAACUCCGUGCCAGCAGCCGCGGUAAUACGGAGGAUCCGAGCGUUAUCCGGAUUUAUUGGGUUUAAAGGGAGCGUAGGCGGGUUGUUAAGUCAGUUGUGAAAGUUUGCGGCUCAACCGUAAAAUUGCAGUUGAUACUGGCGACCUUGAGUGCAACAGAGGUAGGCGGAAUUCGUGGUGUAGCGGUGAAAUGCUUAGAUAUCACGAAGAACUCCGAUUGCGAAGGCAGCUUACUGGAUUGUAACUGACGCUGAUGCUCGAAAGUGUGGGUAUCAAACAGGAUUAGAUACCCUGGUAGUCCACACAGUAAACGAUGAAUACUCGCUGUUGGCGAUAUACGGUCAGCGGCCAAGCGAAAGCAUUAAGUAUUCCACCUGGGGAGUACGCCGGCAACGGUGAAACUCAAAGGAAUUGACGGGGGCCCGCACAAGCGGAGGAACAUGUGGUUUAAUUCGAUGAUACGCGAGGAACCUUACCCGGGCUUAAAUUGCAACUGACUGAACCGGAAACGGUUCUUUCUUCGGACAGUUGUGAAGGUGCUGCAUGGUUGUCGUCAGCUCGUGCCGUGAGGUGUCGGCUUAAGUGCCAUAACGAGCGCAACCCUUAUCGAUAGUUACUAGCAGGUCAUGCUGAGGACUCUAUUGAGACUGCCGUCGUAAGAUGUGAGGAAGGUGGGGAUGACGUCAAAUCAGCACGGCCCUUACGUCCGGGGCUACACACGUGUUACAAUGGGGGGUACAGAAGGCAGCUACACGGCGACGUGGUGCUAAUCCCGAAAGCCUCUCUCAGUUCGGAUUGGAGUCUGCAACCCGACUCCAUGAAGCUGGAUUCGCUAGUAAUCGCGCAUCAGCCACGGCGCGGUGAAUACGUUCCCG